UGUAGCACAUGCAUUUUUGGACAAUGUUUUUAAGUUGCAUGGGUUGCCUUAGACAGUAGUCAAUAACAGAGAUGUUGUAUUUACCGGUACUUUUUGGCAGGAAUUUUGCAAGCUACAAGGGGUCCCUUUGCAUAUGUCCACAGCCUAUCACCCUCAGACUGAUGGCUAGACUGAGGUUGUGAAUAGGUGCUUGGAAAAUUAUCUCAGGUGCACGUUGGUGAUAUUCAUCACUUGGCUGCAAUUGUUGUCCUUAGCUGAAUUCUGAUAUAAUACCUCAUGCCAUUCAACAAUUCAGAUGUCCCCAUUUGAGGCAUUGUAUGGUUUUAAGCCUCCAAUGCACAUUUCUUACAUGCCUAAGGACUCAAAUGUAGCUGCUGUGCACAUUUACUUGAUUGAGAAUUAGUGGAGAUUUGCUUGCUGCCAUGGAGAUUUGCUAAUGAGGCUUCUGCCUUUUUUUUUUAUUUCCUCCAACUAGCAGUUUGGUGGUGACGGUGGGUUGGGCUUCAUCGACUUCGCAUUCUGUCUGAAGCUGGUCCGCAGAAAGCCUUGAACUUCGUCAUUUCUUGGUCUCACAAACUGACUACCCAUGCAGUUCAAAGCAUCUAAGAUUUCUGUCUUGCAAUGUUCUUAACAAGCAGAAACUUCAACUACUGGUUGGUGUUUCCUCAACAUUCAUUGCAUCAAAAUAUGAAGAAAUCAACGCUCCAAAUGCGGAAGACUUUUGCUAUAUAACUGAUAAAACAUACACCAAAGAAGAGGU
Molecule: long non-coding RNA, 760 nt
Organism: Hevea brasiliensis (rubber tree)
Lineage: Eukaryota; Viridiplantae; Streptophyta; Magnoliopsida; Malpighiales; Euphorbiaceae
Exons: 3
Source: RefSeq, a predicted model, not a curated record